RNAcentral lists this ribosomal RNA (494 nucleotides) under uncultured bacterium. RNAcentral describes it as "bacterial SSU rRNA". It matches the Rfam family "Bacterial small subunit ribosomal RNA", at positions 28 to 507 of the family's 1533-position model. The record is from RNAcentral.
GACGAACGCUGGCGGCGUGCCUAAUACAUGCAAGUCGAGCGAAUCAAAAGGAGCGCAGCUCUUUUGGUUAGCGGCGGACGGGUGAGUAACACGUGGGCAACCUGCCUGUAAGACUGGGAUAACACCGGGAAACCGGUGCUAAUACCGGAUAAUUCUUUCUCUCUCAUGAGGGAAAGUUGAAAGUCGGUUUCGGCUGAUACUUACAGGUGGGCCCGCGGCGCAUUAGCUGGUUGGUGAGGUAACGGCUCACCAAGGCGACGAUGCGUAGCCGACCUGAGAGGGUGAUCGGCCACACUGGGACUGAGACACGGCCCAGACUCCUACGGGAGGCAGCAGUAGGGAAUCUUCCACAAUGGACGAAAGUCUGAUGGAGCAACGCCGCGAGCGAUGAAGGCCUUCGGGUCGUAAAGCUCUGUUGUUAGGGAAGAACAAGUACCGGAGUAACUGCCGGUACCUUGACGGUACCUAACCAGAAAGCCACGGCUAACUACGUG